UCGAGAAUCUUCGGCAAUGGGCGCAAGCCUGACCGAGCGACGCCGCGUGGAGGACGAAGGCCUUCGGGUUGUAAACUCCUGUCGAGGGGGAAGAAGGGGUAACACCUUGACUGAUCCCUGGAGGAAGCACGGGCUAAGUUCGUGCCAGCAGCCGCGGUAAGACGAACCGUGCGAACGUUAUUCGGAAUCACUGGGCUUAAAGCGCGUGUAGGCGGGACGGCACGUCGGUCGCUGAAAUCCCCCGGCUCAACCGGGGAACGGGCGCCGAAACGACCGCUCUCGAGGGACGUAGGGGGACCUGGAACUUCCGGUGGAGCGGUGAAAUGCGUUGAGAUCGGAAGGAACGCCCGUGGCGAAAGCGAGGUCCUGGACGUUUUCUGACGCUGAGACGCGAAAGCCAGGGGAGCGAACG
RNAcentral lists this ribosomal RNA (412 nucleotides) under uncultured Aquisphaera sp. RNAcentral describes it as "partial 16S ribosomal RNA". It matches the Rfam family "Bacterial small subunit ribosomal RNA", at positions 355 to 774 of the family's 1533-position model. The record is from RNAcentral. Lineage: Bacteria; Pseudomonadati; Planctomycetota; Planctomycetia; Isosphaerales; Isosphaeraceae.